Molecule: RNA transcript, 3141 nt
Organism: Triticum aestivum (bread wheat)
Lineage: Eukaryota; Viridiplantae; Streptophyta; Magnoliopsida; Poales; Poaceae
Exons: 3
Source: RefSeq, a predicted model, not a curated record
AGUUCCCUCCCCGUGUUGAUGCGUCUCUCGAAGACUCGCGUGGGUUCUCUGCCUCCGCCGCCCACCGCUCAACCGCCGAUGCACCACCGCUCAACCGCCGUAGCUCCUUAUAAAUGGCUCCCGCCUCGCAAGCUCGCUCCAAUGCCCAUGCCCAUCACGCAGCGCCCACACGCGCUAGUAGGUCCGGACGAGGUGAUGCUGGUGGUUUGCGAGGCACCCUCGGCGCGGCUUGGUUCACAGCGGACCGCGAAGCAGAGCUGUGCGGCGAUGGCGACGACCAGCACAGGGCACGCGUGACACCGCGACAACAACCACGUGGCCAUGGAGGGGCUCACGCAGCGCGCGGCGGUGCGCGGCUAGGCGGACCUCGCGCUGCGGCGGCGGCAGGUGCGUGCUAGCCAUGGCCAUGAGAGGGGAUUUGCGGCGUGACUGCGGCAUGAGGCAGCGGGGAUCUCCCAACCUCUCCUACCCCCCCUCCUGAUGUGGGAAACCAUGGAUUACCGGUUUUUUGCUGAAUCUUUAGUCGUGUAGAAACGGCGUCACGGCUGGGACGCGACGGUGCGGCCACCGGCGCCCUGCAUCCUCCACAGGUGUCGCAUGCUUAUGCCCCUGCCCCCUUCCUUCGGCCGUCCAGACCGCCUCCGUCUCAGCCGGUGGAUGUCCAUAUGCCGAAUAACGAGUGCGGCGGCGAUCACGGUCUGCCCCGCUCCGCCAGUCCUCCGUCACUUCUUCCGCUGGCUUACUACUACUCAUGCAGGUGGAGUUCAACAUGGAAGAGCUUGCCAUGGCCCAAGCAUCAUUCUGGGCGUAGCUGCCCACCUCCAUGUGACGAUUGCUCCAACGCAGACCAAGUGUUCGUCGUAAUGUCAGAGCGGCCACAGUGAUGAGGAUACAUCAGUUCGUGAUGAGCUUCGAUGUCUGUGUAGUGCCGGAAGAUGGCGACCAGUAGCGGGCGCUCGCGCACUGCUUCUGGGAUGACACAACCAAGACUAAUAAGGAUGAAGAUCAUGUUCAUAUUUCCAAUGGGUUCGUUCCAGUGGUAUGGACGCGGCGAGGCAAUUUAUUAAGUUUGCAGGAGCAGCCGCUGCGUACUAUCCCACACUCUCUGUCGACAGACCACCUUCUUCCACGCCGACGCCGGUCGCCGGGGUACGGUCCCAUCCAUCGCCAUGCAAGAGCGCUCUAAUCCCCUAGACAGUACUGCUCACAGCAGUUGCAGGCGCGGACGCAUUGCCCUCAGCCGUGGAUGCCGCUGUCCCGUACCAAGGAUGUGCAGGCAUGUUUUAGAUUAUGAUUGUGCAAAGGAAUAUGUUAGAAAAUGACGGUCUGCAAUGGUGUACCCAAAUACUGAACAUCUUCUGAUUUUACUGGAAGAUUGAUGUGGACAUUGAUGUUAUUGCACUGGCAGCUGAUUUUUUUCCCUUCACAUUUUUGAAGACUGGAUUUUCAGCAGCACUGCACUAUUAAUUAGCUUUCUGCAUGUGACUUGUGAUUGCAGCUGAUGAAGCCAUCAACCAUUGGAGGCACGGGAUUGUCGAGCCCAAGGUUCGUCACCCUUGUUUUCUAAAGGGAAGCUAAAGUUGGGGUUGCCAAUCUCCGAGGAUUUUCUCAACGGUUGAAAAGUUUGAUCACUGAGGAAUGGGGAUUACAGUCACAGAUCAUUCGGUUAUUUCUCUUGCUGGUGCCUCCGCUGAAAGUGAUGCAUCUAUAUACAACCAUAUAUAUAAGUUUGCCUGUUCAAUCAGAAGAUUGUAUUAGCUAUUAAGUCAUAGUUCAACCUUCGAAUAUACAGUUUUGGCUCAGUAGUUUGAGCCUCCGUUGCGCAACUGGAUCAUGGUAGACAUCCAGACCUGCAGCUGUGUUUUAUUUUGUUAUCCUUUUUAGAAACUGACACGCUGCCUUUGUUGCCUAAAUCCGUGCUUUAAUUAAAUGAUAAAUUUACUAUAAAGAUUUUUUCUUUGACUCUUAUAUGAAAAAAUUGUACGAACAUGUGAUCGCUAUCCAGAUUAGUCAGGUCAUCCUGCAAAUAACUGUGGGAUACAUUACUGACACUUACUCAAUCAUUGUAGUGAAAUAAUACAAGAUGGUGAACACCUCGGAUGCAGCUCAAAGAUCAAAUAUCAUGAUAUAGAGUAGGCAUUAAACCUACCUUAUCUACUUAAUUUUUUGUUGCAGACUAAUCAUCUAUCUUAUCUGUACAUGGCUGAUUAGGAAGUAGUACAGUACCCGCAAGUUUAAUAGUUAUCAGAUUGUUUCUGUACAUAGUUCAUUUGUGUACUAAGACGGGAGGCCAAGUUGUUCAAUUUGUGGAUUUGAUUUAUUCAGACUGGUGGCAUUCCUUAAUUUCUGAUUCCUGUUUAUGUUUGGUUUUGAGCUGGAAAUUAUUUAUUCUGGCACAUCUAACUGCUGCUUCUUUUGCCUAGCCUCCUUUCAAUGAAAUAUUUCCAGUCAGUAGACUAUACUUGCUAUUCCAAGCACAUAUAGGCCUAGGGUUGUCCACUAAGAGAAGGUGCAACAAAUUCACUUGGUUUGUGAAUAUCUUUGGGGUUUGUAUUAAUAUGAGCUAGCAACUUUUCAUAUAUAUGCCAGGUUGUCUUCAAGCCAUAGAAGCACCAUUGAGCCCUGGAGCUGUGGCGACAGCGCCGUACCAGCCACCGUCGUCCUCUUCCAUGCCCUGGCCAUCCAGGAGGAGUGCCACGGCUAUCGCAGUUCUCCCCAUGGCAUCCCGGAUGGCAUCCUCCGGGAUGUUGAUCGUGUCCUUGCACCGGCGGCAGCCGGAGCCUGGUACGUCCAGAGAGGCAUGGCCUUGGAUUGGAGCAUUGCAGGCAUCGAUCCACUUCGUGGUAGCCAUGGGGUAGGGUGGCGUAGAGCUCAGCCGCGUGAGCUGCAGUUCACCAGUUCAUUCCUCACCUGUAAGCCUAGCAAGAAGGAAAAUGGUUUGUGCUAUAUAUACGACUGAACUGGACAAUUGCAUAGAAUGUAGAUAUUUGCACAUCUGAUUUCUUUUGUGUAGUCUGGGUACUCUUCCCCAUGGUGUUAAAAAUAUAUAUGUUUGUGAGGUUGUAUGACUAACGUGAUUUUGUAACACACUAAGUUAACCCAAACUGGCUUGAAUUUGUUGGUUAUUUGGCCUUGCCUGAA